RNAcentral lists this ribosomal RNA (253 nucleotides) under uncultured bacterium. RNAcentral's name for it is "partial 16S ribosomal RNA". It matches the Rfam family "Bacterial small subunit ribosomal RNA", at positions 524 to 776 of the family's 1533-position model. The record is from RNAcentral.
UACGAAGGGUGCAAGCGUUACUCGGAAUUACUGGGCGUAAAGCGUGCGUAGGUGGUUUGUUAAGUCUGAUGUGAAAGCCCUGGGCUCAACCUGGGAAUGGCAUUGGAUACUGGCAGGCUAGAGUGCGGUAGAGGAUGGCGGAAUUCCCGGUGUAGCAGUGAAAUGCGUAGAGAUCGGGAGGAACAUCUGUGGCGAAGGCGGCCAUCUGGACCAGCACUGACACUGAGGCACGAAAGCGUGGGGAGCAAACAGG